UACAAAGUGAGUUCCAGGACAGC
This 23-nucleotide non-coding RNA is filed under the name Mus musculus (house mouse). Lineage: Eukaryota; Metazoa; Chordata; Mammalia; Rodentia; Muridae. The record is from RNAcentral.